This 497-nucleotide ribosomal RNA is filed under the name uncultured bacterium. RNAcentral describes it as "partial 16S ribosomal RNA". It matches the Rfam family "Bacterial small subunit ribosomal RNA", at positions 28 to 507 of the family's 1533-position model. The record is from RNAcentral.
GAUGAACGCUGGCGGCGUGCCUAAUACAUGCAAGUAGAACGCUGAAGGAAGGAGCUUGCUCUUUCCGGAUGAGUUGCGAACGGGUGAGUAACGCGUAGGUAACCUGCCUGGUAGCGGGGGAUAACUAUGGGAAACGAUAGCUAAUACCGCAUAACAGUAGAUGUUGCAUGAUAUCUACUUAAAAGGUGCAAUUGCACCACUACCAGAUGGACCUGCGUUGUAUUAGCUAGUUGGUGAGGUAACGGCUCACCAAGGCGACGAUACAUAACCGACCUGAGAGGGUGAUCCGCCCAACUGGGAAUGAGACACGGCCCAGACUCCCACGGGAGGCAGCAGUAGGGAAUCUUCGGCCAUGGACGGAAGUCUGACCGAGCAACGCCGCGGUAGGGAAGAAGGGUUUCGGAUCGUAAAGCUCCGUUGUAAGAGAAGAACGAGUGUGAGAGUGGAAAGUUCACACUGUGACGGUAUCUUACCAGAAAGGGACGGCUAACUACGUG